Molecule: unclassified non-coding RNA, 196 nt
Filed under: uncultured Exophiala
Lineage: Eukaryota; Fungi; Ascomycota; Eurotiomycetes; Chaetothyriales; Herpotrichiellaceae
Description: sequence contains ITS2
Source: RNAcentral
UCACCCCUCGAGCCCCUGUGGCUUGGCUUUGGACGGUCUGGUCAGGCGACUGACCCCUCCUAAAGACAAUGACGGCGGCCUCGCAGGACCCCCGGUACACUGAGCUUCUUAACUGAGCACGUAUCGGAUUGAGGGUUCUCGGGACACGGUCUCCUUUCCCCCUCCCCUCGGGGCGGUGGGAAAACAAUCUUUCUCA